UCAAUGAUAACGCUGAAAGCAAGCAAGCUCUGGUUGACCACGGUGCAUCCGAAACUGAAGAAUCAUCUGGUUCCAAAUCACCCAAAGCCGAAAGCACCUCUAAGCCCGCAUCUUCUGGUGGUAUUACAGAAUUCGACUCUCACACUAUUUUGCUAAACUUGCCACAAGCAGAACUACGUCUUCUCUGCUCACUGCUCGCACGUGAAUGUUUUUCGGAUAAUGCGUAUGCACUUGUGGUAGAAGUAUUGAAGAAGUUGGUGACAUGCGCGCCACGUCACGAUAUAGUGCAUUAGUUGAGGUACUAGGUUUGACUUCUAAUAGUGGUAUUUUUCUAUCGUGUGAGCGCAGCCGCAGCGGCGCAGCGAGCCGGCGCAGCGAGGGCCGCUGGUGA
This is a long non-coding RNA of Helianthus annuus (common sunflower), 391 nucleotides long. RefSeq lists it as uncharacterized. The transcript is spliced from 3 exons. The record is from RefSeq and is a predicted model, not a curated record. Lineage: Eukaryota; Viridiplantae; Streptophyta; Magnoliopsida; Asterales; Asteraceae.